Molecule: ribosomal RNA, 425 nt
Filed under: uncultured bacterium
Lineage: Bacteria
Description: bacterial SSU rRNA
Rfam family: Bacterial small subunit ribosomal RNA
Source: RNAcentral
UCGGGAAUUUUGGGCAAUGGGCGAAAGCCUGACCCAGCAACGCCGCGUGAGGGAUGAAGGCCUUCGGGUCGUAAACCUCUGUCGGGAGGGACGAAAGGCGCGCAGGUGAACAAUCUGCGUACUUGACGGUACCUCCAAAGGAAGCGCCGGCUGACUCCGUGCCAGCAGCCGCGGUAACACGGAGGGCGCAAGCGUUGUUCGGAAUUACUGGGCGUAAAGCGCGUGUAGGCGGUUCGGUAAGUCGGAUGUGAAAUCCCGGGGCCCAACCCCGGAACUGCACCCGAUACUGCCGGACUAGAGUCCCGGAGAGGAUGGCGGAAUUUCCGGUGUAGAGGUGAAAUUCGUAGAUAUCGGAAGGAACACCAGUGGCGAAGGCGGCCAUCUGGACGGUGACUGACGCUGAGACGCGAAAGCGUGGGGAGCAA